UGAAAUUACUUGGGGUAAGCGGUUGCUGAACAAAACGUAAAAUUGCUGAUGUCAACCGGAAGAUCGGGCUUAUAGCUCAGUUGGAAGAGCGCCGCCUUUGCGAGGCGGAGGCCGGGGGUUCAAAUCCCCCUGAGUCCACUUCGAUGCACCCGGAGAUGGAAGUCACCGGGGAAGGGCUGAAGGUCUUUGACCUGUUGAAGCCGCGUAAAGGUGCGUAACUCUGGACGUUAAAUGAGUUCAGCGGAAC
This 247-nucleotide transfer RNA is filed under the name uncultured Methanoculleus sp. RNAcentral's name for it is "16S-23S ribosomal RNA intergenic spacer". The stretch from base 66 to 138 matches the Rfam family "tRNA". The record is from RNAcentral. Lineage: Archaea; Methanobacteriati; Methanobacteriota; Methanomicrobia; Methanomicrobiales; Methanomicrobiaceae.